RNAcentral lists this ribosomal RNA (486 nucleotides) under uncultured bacterium. Its description in RNAcentral is "partial 16S ribosomal RNA". It matches the Rfam family "Bacterial small subunit ribosomal RNA", at positions 29 to 507 of the family's 1533-position model. The record is from RNAcentral.
AUUGAACGCUGGCGGCAUGCCUUACACAUGCAAGUCGAACGGCAGCACGGGUGCUUGCACCUGGUGGCGAGUGGCGAACGGGUGAGUAAUACAUCGGAACAUGUCCUGUAGUGGGGGAUAGCCCGGCGAAAGCCGGAUUAAUACCGCAUACGAUCUACGGAUGAAAGCGGGGGACCUUCGGGCCUCGCGCGAUAGGGUUGGCCGAUGGCUGAUUAGCUAGUUGGUGGGGUAAAGGCCUACCAAGGCGACGAUCAGUAGCUGGUCUGAGAGGACGAGCAGCCACACUGGGACUGAGACACGGCCCAGACUCCUACGGGAGGCAGCAGUGGGGAAUUUUGGACAAUGGGCGAAAGCCUGAUCCAGCAAUGCCGCGUGUGUGAAGAAGGCCUUCGGGUUGUAAAGCACUUUUGUCCGGAAAGAAAUGCUUGGCCCUAAUACGGUCGGGGGAUGACGGUACCGGAAGAAUAAGCACCGGCUAACUACGUG